UGCCAGCCGCCGCGGUAACACGUAGGGAGCAAGCGUUGUCCGGAUUUAUUGGGCGUAAAGAGCUCGUAGGCGGUUCGGUAAGUCGGGUGUGAAAAUCCAGGGCUCAACCCUGGGACGCCACCCGAUACUGCUGUGACUAGAGUCCGGUAGAGGAGCGUGGAAUUUCUGGUGUAGCGGUGAAAUGCGCAGAUAUCAGAAGGAACACCAGCGGCGAAGGCGGCGCUCUGGGCCGGUACUGACGCUGAGGAGCGAAAGCGUGGGUAGCGAACGGGAUUAGAUA
This 280-nucleotide ribosomal RNA is filed under the name uncultured bacterium. RNAcentral's name for it is "partial 16S ribosomal RNA". It matches the Rfam family "Bacterial small subunit ribosomal RNA", at positions 506 to 784 of the family's 1533-position model. The record is from RNAcentral.